This 687-nucleotide long non-coding RNA is filed under the name Mytilus galloprovincialis (Mediterranean mussel). The record is from RNAcentral. Lineage: Eukaryota; Metazoa; Mollusca; Bivalvia; Mytilida; Mytilidae.
UAUUUUGACAUUUUAUGAAUUGUUCUAUUAAUCAUUCUCGUAGCUUAAAUGUGGGGUGUAGGACGGUUUGAUUUGUUAUCAGCAAUUUCAGCAUUUUGAUCUUGUUUAUAAUAACUCCUAGAAUUCCUUGAUAAGUUGUAACUUAUUAUCAUUUGCAAAGCUCAGUAGUUUUGUUUUUAUUUCUAUACGAUUUUUUUUAUUUUCGGGAGAAUUUGGUUUUAAUGGUAGGUUAUGAUGCUAUAAAUUAUUUCAACUCUGAUUAAGGGCUUGGUAAACUGUAAAGUCACCUGCCUGUUGACGAAAACUGUAAGUUUACCUAAUCAACUCGUUCAAAAACACUUAUACGAGUAAAAUCAUGAAAUUGGACUAUAAAUUAGGGUUAACUGAAAAGUCUUUUGUAGACGAAACGCGCGUAUGUUGUACAAGAUUGUAUUCCUGGUAUCUAUGAUAAGUUUACUUGCCUUAAAAAAUAUUGAAAAGCACGAGAUGUGUUUUUAUUAGUAAGUUUGUCGUUGAAAAAUUGUAAGAUCUGUUUCAUAAUUUAUAUACAAAUAAAGUUGGUUUCACUCAGUCUUAAUGGUUCUUAAAUAUAGCAUUUUUAUAUAAUUUAGUCGGAGUUGCUUUGUUUAUGGGGCAAUCACAGGAUAUAGGACCAAAAAAUAUUUUGCUAUUGAAAUAUAAACAUGC